GGAAACAUUGGAUCCAUAAUAGUAGUAUCACAAUCUGAGAUAAGAUAUUGUAUGGUGAAUAACGAGCGCUAUAAUCUUGGAAGUCGAUUCUCAUUCACCGAAGGUUGUUUCAAGUACACCUGUAUGUGUUUCCGUAAUGGAUCUUGGGAAUGUCCUGGUUCUGACUCCCAAUACAUCUGUCAUCGGGACACAGAUUGGGCAAGCAUACCAGGU
RNAcentral lists this long non-coding RNA (213 nucleotides) under Octopus vulgaris (common octopus). The record is from RNAcentral. Lineage: Eukaryota; Metazoa; Mollusca; Cephalopoda; Octopoda; Octopodidae.